This 3510-nucleotide long non-coding RNA is filed under the name Aquilegia coerulea. RNAcentral describes it as "long non-coding RNA (ACOE_LNC001004)". Lineage: Eukaryota; Viridiplantae; Streptophyta; Magnoliopsida; Ranunculales; Ranunculaceae. The record is from RNAcentral.
UAAUUGGUAGAGUUCCUACUCUUGUUGGUCAAUAAAGUUUGUUACAAUCCUCACAUAGACAACCCUUAAUCUCGGUUCCCUUGAAAUGCUUAGAGUAUCAAGUUGUACGAAAUAUUUGAGGAUAUAUCUUUCUUAUAAAUCUGGAAUGACAUGUUGUACGCAAAUGUAAUGUUCUCGACCAUCAAAAUAUAGCCAAUCCAUCAAAGAAACGAAGACAAAUUAAAAAGAAGCAAAAUAUCACUUCUUUGAGUAUUCAUACCUUGCAUACCGAGAAACAAAUAUGAGAUAACUGAGAUCCUUAAGCACCUUCAUGUUUGUUGGUGGUACCACCUCGACUUCUUAAAUGAUAAGUUGUUCUCCGGCUUCCCAUGAUGAAUUCAAUGUAUUUGUUGGAUGACCUAUUAAAGGAAAGCCUGAAAACUAAACUGCAAUUUGUAUUUCUGUUAUAAAGCAAAAUAUUCAUGUGCGAAUGUCAAACUAUUGAACAUCGAGAAACUCUAAACAUCAAGUGAUAGCUUAGGAUAUAGACAAUAUAACAAUUGCUACUAAGACCAUAAUCUGAACUUGAUAAAUGAAACCACGUACUUAAGACCAUGAAUAAUAUUUUCCCCCUUCCUUUAUUCAGGUUCAGGUACAUGUUCCAUGACUAACAACCUUUAGACUGGAAUUUAUGUCAUCUAGUGUUUUUUGUUACUGUAUUACUACUUCUAAGCUGGUGUUUGUCUAAGAAAAAUUGCCUUAGGUUACCUUUGGCUGAACUAAGAGCUGUGUGUGUAGCUUAUGUUUGUAUAAGUAUUUAUGUUUGUUGUGUAAGGACAAAGUGGUCUAUCUUGGUUAAGAAUAGCUGAUAGACAUCCAUAAAUAUGAUUACAUCUGUGUAAAAUCAUGUCAUCAAUUUGAGGAAAUCGACAACAAAAAAAAUUAUAUGUAAACCUAUAACAUAUCAUUAACUUUCAAAAUUAAGAUCUAUCAUCUAAAAUUGGCAUCAGAGAAUGGCCUUCAUUACCAACAUUAACUUGAAAAUUAAAUACUGAUUGAUCUGAUUCAAUUUGGAGUUUGGCCUCUCAUAUAGAGGGGCUUUCUCUGUCGUGGUUUAUAACAAAUGUGCUACAGGGAGUAAGGUGGGCAAUUGGGCACACAAAAGAACUGCACUAAACCUUCUCUGAAAAAUCCAUUUGUUAAUGAAAUUAAUCGAUCAGUAAUAGGAAAAGAGUAUGUGUAUAAACUAAAUCAUCCGAUUUUCCUAAACUUUGGUUUCACUCCACACCAAUUGCCCAAAUGGAUUGAAGUAUUAAACCAAUAGUUCAAUUUUGGUUUCCUCUUUUAAUUUAUAAAUUGAAAAGCACGUUCGAAUUCCAAGAAGUAUGAAAAAAUAACCGAAUCAAAAUUCGAUCAAUUUCAGAGAACAAUAGAUAGAAGAACCAAUACUGACCUGAAAUAUCGCUAGACGAAUAAAGAGAUUGAAACAUUAAAAGAUAAGAGCAUUCCCAAUGGUAGGUUUUAAAUCUUUUUUAGAUACUUUUAGCUAAAAACUCUUGCCAAUGGUAAAUUUGCCAAGGACUUAAAAAUGCUAUGUAGGAUCACUUAAUUAAUUUAAAGUUAAUUUUAUCAUAUUGUAUACCCAUGGUUUUGGGAAAAGUGAAACUUAAGUUUUUAAAACUUAUUUUGAAAUUAACUGUUGGCAAGUCUAAGGGUGUGUUUGUUUAAAAUGCUGAAUGCUGGAUGCUGAAUGCUGGAUGCUUAAUGCUGGAUACUUAAUGCUGGAUGCUGAACACUGAAUGCUGGAAAAGUUGUUUGGUUAUCAUUUUUAAGAAGUUCUGUUUUUGAUUUGUUUGUUUAUGCAUAAGUGUGAUUUUGACCAUGUUACCCUAUUAUUAGAAAAGUAUUUUGACAAUACACAGUACCUUAUCACAUAACCCAAAAACCUAAAGUUGAUUUGUACUCUGGUUGCGCAAGUUGACCAUUCAGUGUUGUGCUUCAGAUGAGAAUGUUUCACCCUUAGCCAAAAUAUUUGUGUAACUACACUAUAUUGUUACGUCGUACAAACAGAAAAAUGUUCUAACAACAAAAUUAUACACGCCAAUUUUUCUUCUAAAACAUGAUAUUUAAAAAAAAAAUCUUAACCUUUUAAACGGCUCCUCUAAAAAUUCUAAAUUUUGGAUAUGGUACAACAGAAAUCGUCAUGAACAUAUGGAAAAUAUUUCAAAGUGAACAGACAAAGGAAAGAUCCCUUACUAAGCAAACGAAUCUGACUGUAAUUUUUCUUCUAAAACAUGACAAUCACAAAAAAAUCUGUAACUUUCAAACGACUCGUUUAAAAAUUCCAAAUUUUGGAUAUGAUACAAUAGAAAUCGUCAGGAACAUAUAGUAAAACUUUUAAAGUGAUCAGACAAAAGAAAGUGUCCUUAUUAAGCAAACGAAUCUGACUGUAACGUAAUUUUUCUUGUAAAACAUAACAACCACAAAAAAAUCUGUAACUUUCAAACCGAUCGUCUAAAAAUUCUAAAUUUUAGAUAUGAUAUAACAGAAAUCUUCAGGAACUCAUGGUAAAAAUUUCAAAGUGAUCAGACAAAGGAAAGGCCAUUAACUAAGCCAAUGAAUUUGACUGUGAUAUUACUUAAUGGUUAUGGAUGAAAAAAACAAUUUUUAUAAGGGUAGAAUUGUCUAAAUAAUACAACAAGCAUUAAGAAGUUAAAUUAAGCGUGAGAUUUUCGCUGGGCCAAACUCGCUGAAAUAUCCCACUUAGUUCUUAAUGCUUGUUCUAAACAAACAACUUAAAAAACACUUAUUUCUGAAUUUUAACCUGGUCCACCACUUAAGAAGCACUUAAUGCUUAAUGCUUAAUGAAACAAACACUACCUAAAAGUACAAAUCACUUUAACAUUAACUAUAUGCUAAAACCUCCCUCCCCUCUCCUAUGUGGCACCCCUCAAACCCUUUUACCAUUGGGAACACUCUAACAAUAGAUAGAAGAACCAAUACUGAACUGAAAUUAAUAUUCUGUUGAAGAAUAGAUUGAUUCCAGUUGAACAAUAAAAUCUCGAGACUACAAAAUUAAAAGAAGGAUUAAAAUUCAUGCCGAAUUCAAUAAUCUUUACAUCAAUGAAGAAUAAAACACAAUCCGAACGUGAUAGAAAGAUUUGCAAAGGGUGUUGUAGUUGUAGCUUUGAAGAAAGAAAAUAGCCGUGCACGAUAUAUAAAUAAUUCUCUCAGGUAACUACAUAAUGUGCUUUAAAAUUGAGGUGUUCUACAAUCAACUUAAUAAAAUGAAAUUUCCUUAUGGAACUUUGGAAUUACAAUAAGCUCUUUACCAAUCAAGCGUCUUACUGGUGGAGAGACCUAACAACAAUUGAGGAAUACAAAAAUUUAAAGAGCAAUUUUUUUUGAGGAAAAAAACAGGAGAGAUGUACCUUUCCGAAGACGAAGAUGUGAAUUGGGAAGAAGAAGAAUCUAUUUUGGAAGGAAAAGUGUUGUUAAGAAUUUCGGUUUUAAGGCAGUCGUUGGGUUAUU